This 3358-nucleotide long non-coding RNA is filed under the name Homo sapiens (human). RNAcentral describes it as "HSALNT0383869". The record is from RNAcentral. Lineage: Eukaryota; Metazoa; Chordata; Mammalia; Primates; Hominidae.
CUGCCUCGGCCUCCCAAAUAGCUGGGAUUACAGGUGUCACCACCACGCAUGGCUAAUUUUUGUAUUUUUAGUAGAGAUGGGGUUUCACUGUGUUGGCCAGGCUGGUCUCGAACUCCUGACCUCAGGUGAUCCGCCUGCCUCGGCCUCCCAAAAUGCUGGGAUUACAGGUGUGAGCCACCAUGCCCGGCCAGGAGUUUAUUUCUGAUUCAGCUGCAAACAUGGUAGACUGUAAGCUCUCAGUGGGCAGCUCGGAUUUGCUGGUAUCUGGGCUCUAGGGUCUAAAAGGCUGCCUGGCACCAGCAGCACUUAACAAGUUACUUUUAAUUCAAGGUCGGUCUCAUGGGCGGGGCAAGGGGUUGAAUGUUCAUCCCAAACACACUUAUUCCUUCACUGCCUCACACGCACAACUCUGGUCAAUUGGUGCUUGUGGUGGCCAGCUGUUGGGUUGUGUGACUUGCCCUGCCUUCUGAGAGCUGCACACUGCUCCCCUCCUCUGCUGCAGAGCUCCCUGCAGCCAUAUUCUGCUGCACAAGCCUGUCCUUGUAGCCACAGCUGAUGACACAGGGAGAGUACCCAUGUAAGGCAGGCUGACCAAGUCCUGUCCCUGGGAAAAGAAGAGCCAAGAAACAGACCCAGAAAGUUGGCCUGAGGGGUUGGAUUUGUACCAGUUUUACCUGGAAGAUGCUGGAGGUCUUGUCAUUUGUCCCAUCAACUGGAGAAGGCGGCCAUGGAGAGAAGGGCAGUGCUGCCGUACAGAGAGGGUCCAGGUGACAUUUAAUGCCGGCUCCAGCUUUCCCAAGGCUCUGCUGCACCCCUCCCUGAAAUUCUGAAUCCACUCUGGAUUCUCAAAACAACGCCCCUCACCCACUCUUGUUUUCACCUAAGUCAUUUCUAGUUGGUGCGUUUCCUUUACUUGCAGCCAAAGGAUUCCUAGCAAGUACAAGCUUCUGACUUCACAGAGAGGCCAUGGUAAACAUCCCAAGGAGUGCAUCAGCCAUGGGUUCAGGGAUUUCAGCCACUGCAUAGAAGACAAGCUGUAACCUAAUUCAAUCACACUUGGCAGCAACCGGUGAAGAGGCAGUCUGGGCUCUGGGGAGCUCCCCCGUGACAGAUGGAAGGGGCCCCUACAUCUGGAGAGGCUCUAGAACCUCCUCCCAGUGAGGCUAACGUGGUCUGAAGGGGUCUCUUUGCCCAGUGACAUUCUGGGGUUGGGAUCUGGGAUUUCCUCCAUUGCUUCCUUACAUCAACAUUUGCUAAAGCUCAAAAGAAGACCUUCCACGUAAUGACAUCAAACAGAUCUGAAACCACAGUUAAAGUAACGUCCACUUAACACUUGGUCAGCACUCAUGUUUCAUUUUGUGUGCCGUGGAAAGAAAUACAGGCUCCUGUGCCAUGGGAUGUUAACUCUUUUAUUAAUUUAGGGUUAACAUUGUACUUGCUUCAUUGAUUUCUCUUUCAGAGUUGUAGAUUCAAUAAACAACAUCUGGGUUCUCUCCAGCUCACAGGUGACAAGGCAAAUGCACUGUCGUCAAACAGGGGAGCAGGACAAUAUGGAGAAAGACGAGGUCGAAAAAAUUUAAGGCAAAUGUUACUUCCCUAUUCAAGGGAAUUGAUCAAGCAGAUCUGUGCAUUUCAAUGAAAAUAUAUGAAAUAUUUGUCAAAAUAAUUAACAUCGGUAAAAAUUAGAACAUGUAGCUUAUAAAAUGCCUACACAGGUUUGGCAGAAUAAAUCCAACUGUGUCAUGUAGGCUUGUAAUAUACACAGACACAGGAGUUUCCACCUUAAAAACGAGUCUUCUGAAGGGCAGAGGCCAAAUGUAUUUUAAAAGCAAUUCCAUAAAAUGGGAAGUGAUGGAUGAUUAACAAUGCAUGGCUGGCUUUACAUUUUGUUCAGAGGAAUUGCUUGGCCAUCGGGGUACCUUUUGGCUGGCCACAGAAUGCCUCCUGUUGCCUCUCCUCAGAAGGCUCUGCAUCAGGUCGAGGUGGUCGUUCAGGCCAUGAGACUCCUGAAGACACAGACAGAACACGGUAACAAGGAGAGCUCGGCUUGCUCAAAGGAGAGCGCUGCGGGGGAUAGAAUCUUCUGGUCUGGCUUUGGAAUUGGACUUUCUAAGCCACUGCUGCAGUUUCAGAAGUAGCUGACUAUGUAGAAAUAGAUACUCCGGCCCCAGUGGUCAUACAUUUUAUGCCCUCAAACCUAUCUUAUUUAUAGUCUGACCAAACCGUCCCCAGACUGCUCAGUGGCAGGCAACGAGCAGGUAGACUGCUGGCCCUUUGUCACAUGUGAGGAUGGCCCAGGGUUCGCCAGCUGGGCCGGGGAGAUUUACUACACAGCCGCAGAAAAGCACGGGGAGAAGAGUGAUGUGUGAUGCCAAGCGCCUUUCUUUUCUGCUUUGGUCUUGAAGAUUCAGUAAACUUAUGGUCCCAGAAGCUGCUCCAAAGCCAGAGCUGUGGAUUCCCAGAAUUCAUUUUGUUCCUGUUAGUUUGUCGGAAGACUGGAGCCAACAAGCAGCAUUUGAGAGGAUAUCACCAUUUUAGGAACACCUCCUUAAGAGCCACCACCCACCUGGCUUGGGUGCUCAGAGAUGCUGCUCCUGGGGAGAUAAAGCUGUCAGGUGCAGGGCGCCGCUCCUGAAACAGACUCUGGCCGACAGUCUGGAGGAAGGUGGACGGAUGGAUGGAUGGGAGUGCCUGCCCUCUGUGGGCAGCUAGGCACCCUUACCCGGCCAGGAGGCACGUGCGGCAGCAGAACUGAAUGAAGAGCUUCCGUUCGCACAGCCGGUUGGACUUCACCAUCUCGCAGAAUGUCUCGUCAGCUGGGGCCCCGCAUCAGGAAAGGCAAAAGAGGGAAAGGUCAGUCUUCGGUGCCUGUGAAGAUUGUUUCAAGGCCGGGCGCGGUGCCUCAUGCCUGUAAUCCCAGCACUUUGGGAGGCCGAGGUGGGUGGAUCACCUGAGGCCAGGAGUUCGAGACCAGCCUGGCCAACGUGGUGAAACCCGGUCUCUAUUAAAAAUACAAACAAUUAGUGGGGAGUGGUGGCGGGUGCCUGUAGUCCCAGCUACUCGGCAGGUUGAGGCAGGAGAAUGGUGUGAAUCUGGGAGGCGGAGCUUGCAAUGAGCCGAGAUCGCCCACUGCGCUCCAGCCUGGGCGACAGGCGAGACUCCAUCUCAAAAAAAACGAAAACAAAAACAAAAAUUAGCUGGGCAUUGUGGUGCACGCCUGUAGUCCCAGCUACUCGGGAGGCUGAGGCAUGAGAGUUGCUUGAAUCCCAGAGGCAGAGGUUGCAGUGAGCUGAGGUCACACCAGUGCACUCCAGCCUGGGCGACAGAGUGAGAGUGUGUCUCCAAAAAAAUUUUUUUU